ACACCUCAACUCUCAUGGUUUGCCAUGAUGAGCUUGGACUUUGGGGGUAUUGCCGGCCUAACCGUCGGCUCCUCUCAAAUCGAUCAGCUUGCCAGUGUUUGGUGGCGUCACAGGUGUGAUAACUAUCUACGCUUGCUGUCUUCCAUCAGGUUACCUUCAGUGAUGAAGGUUCACUGGAGCUUACAGAUGUCUCUCCUCAGGGAGGACAGCUUUUUGAAC
RNAcentral lists this unclassified non-coding RNA (219 nucleotides) under uncultured Tomentella. RNAcentral describes it as "sequence contains ITS2". The record is from RNAcentral. Lineage: Eukaryota; Fungi; Basidiomycota; Agaricomycetes; Thelephorales; Thelephoraceae.